GACAGAGGGUGCAAACGUUGUUCGGAAUUACUGGGCGUAAAGCGCGUGUAGGCGGCUAUGCAAGUCGGAUGUGAAAGCCCUCGGCUCAACCGGGGAAGUGCACCCGAAACUGCAAAGCUAGAGUCUCGGAGAGGAUCGUGGAAUUCUCGGUGUAGAGGUGAAAUUCGUAGAUAUCGGGAGGAACACCAGUGGCGAAGGCGGCGACCUGGACGGAUAUUGACGCUGAGGUGCGAAAGCGUGGGGAGCAAACAGG
RNAcentral lists this ribosomal RNA (253 nucleotides) under uncultured bacterium. Its description in RNAcentral is "partial 16S ribosomal RNA". It matches the Rfam family "Bacterial small subunit ribosomal RNA", at positions 524 to 776 of the family's 1533-position model. The record is from RNAcentral.